Molecule: RNA transcript, 7763 nt
Organism: Galleria mellonella (greater wax moth)
Lineage: Eukaryota; Metazoa; Arthropoda; Insecta; Lepidoptera; Pyralidae
Exons: 10
Source: RefSeq, a predicted model, not a curated record
UUUUUCCAGUUUCACUUCGAACGUCAUAAACAUCUGUCAUACAUUAUUAUUCGCUCUCGCUUGUCCGUGCCCGCAAAUGUAGGCGGAGUUCACAAUAUUUUUUAGUUUAUCGUUCUCGUUCCACUUUUCGAUAUCGUUCUUUUAUUUUUAAAUCCAGUGCUGAGUGCUGUGCUUUACGCUUUCAUCCCCACAGUGAUGUGUUUCGAAAUCUGUGCAUAAUUUCUUUUUGAUAUGCUUUUGUGAUUAUGAUGUCAUAUUUUUGCUUAGAACCUUGAAAGAUGAGUGUUAGUGUCGAAGCGGACGUGUCCAGUCCUCUAUCUGAAGGGCAGAGUGGCACCUUGGAUCGAACAUCGAAAUCUUCGUCCGAUAGCCUUACAUUGAGCAAAACUGAAGAUGUCGAGGCCAGCCAAGAAAAAGAUGAUAAAUCUGAGCCUUCUACACCUAAACCCCAUCCGAUGGCGUUCACCAUUGAUUUUGGUGAUGCGAAACGUGUGGACAAUCGUCGAUUGGAGGAAUUGGCAAAAAAAUCGCAGGCUAGACAUCAGAGGGUCCAAUCCAUGUCUGCAAGCCUAACUAGGCCAUCUCCAGUGCCUCAGAAAACGCCAAUGAGUGCUAAACUGCCUAGAAAAGCUCAAGGAUACAACUCUGAAGGUUACUUCUCGUCAGACCAGGAAGAUAGUGGCCUCUCAGGGUCUGUGAAACUCCGAAGUAGUCCUCUCUCCCAAUCCAUGCAUGUGACCUCCCCUGUAAUUAAUAACAGGCACACUAAAUCCCCAAUUACUGAGACUUUGCAAAUGAAACGUACCUCCAAAAGUCCAAUAGUUGAUAGUAUAAUGUCAAGAAGUGAUAAUUUCACAGCAAGACAAAGUUUGAACCUGCCUCUGAAGAGUCCUACAAGUUCCUAUGUACGAGACAUUCAUAGAACCCCAAGUUAUGGUAAUUUAUCAUCGUCUUAUCAGCCUAAACAUAGUAGUAUAUCUGAUAUAAUUGAUCAAAGUCCUGAAGGAGUUAUGUUGACUGAUAUAUCUAGUCCAGAACUAGAUAUUUUAACCCCUGACAAUGGCUUGUCCACUCCAGAUCAUUCCAGAAGCCCUUUAAUACGAAAGGGUAGAGCAUCAUCAGAAACACCAGAUUUGUUUAAGAAAUGUAUCCCAAAAGUAGAGCCUUUAUAUGUCGAUGAUGAAGUUGAUAGACAGUCAAAUAACUCGUCAACUGGUACAUACACUAUUGAAGGUGAUAACUAUACAGAAGAGCAGAAAGCUAGGAUGAGUAUAGAUCGUACAUUCGGUACACAUUUAUUAAAUGAUACAAUAGAAGAAACCUUGCAGGUUCAAAAUGCCGACAGAGAUCCUGAUAUAGUUUUUGACUUUCCUUCCAUUCAGAGAGUUAUCACGAAGGAGCCUCGACGGGAUGUUGCAUUAAGAAGCCCAUUAACGAAUAAAACAUUUGAUUUACCAAAUAAAGUGUCGAAAGACAAAAAUGUGUUAGAAAUAUCCUGUUGCUAUGAAUCGCCUACGGAGAAUGACUUAGCUGCCCAAACAUCUAAGCAGAUCAAAUCUACUCGUAGUUAUUUAGAGAAAAUAAAGAAUAGGGUACGUACAAUAACUGAAAAGACUUUUGCUAAGUCACCACCGAAACAUGAUGAGGAAGUGGACGUUGGGAGCUUCACAUCAGUGACCACUUCUGGUGUGUUGAGCUCUAAGAACCUCCCGAAAGUGGAGAUACAGAGUCGGAGAAGGUGUAGUUUGACCAAAUCUGAGAUUGACCAAACUGAUUAUAUACAUAGGUUGUCGAGGGAGUCAUCAGUGCCUGUCUGUCUUCCAAGUAACAGGGUACCUUUGGAUGGUGCAAAAUUUGAGAGCACUGCCUUAAAGAAUGCUCAGAAGGCGUUGAGAGAUGAUUCAGGGGUCUCCUCAGAUAUUACUCCCGACCAGGUUGUAGGGAAGCUGUCAUAUUUGAGCCUGAAUAGAUGUAAAGGGGACAAAACAUGGAUCCAGGAUUGGGCGGAGAGUGUUAAGAAGUACAACCAUGAUGGUACAUUUACGAUAGAUUCCGAGCGGCCGCCAAUGAGUCCGAGGCACGUCCAGGGAAAACCCCGAAGCCCUCACAGCGUUACCCCAACUAAGAUACCGAGCCCUGUGGGCACGCUUCUGAAUAGGCGGACACCGGACCUAAUUCCAGUUCAGGACACCGAAUCUUAUUUGUUGAAGACACAAAACGCUAUAACAAAUCUACAAGCGAAGAUCCAAUCGUCAAGGACUAACAAUUUCUCGAACAUUCCCUCCCAACUCACCUCCAGUCUCAUCAGCGAGAAAACAGCUGUCUCCCGGCUUCCUGUGUCACAACUAAGUAGAUCUAACUCAUUGAAUUAUCGUCUGAGAAGAAAAGACACUUCCAACGACAGUAGCCCACUGAGAAGUCCAGGACAUUACGUCAUAACGGGCUCUUCGAAAAUUCCCGAAAGCACCAAAAUACUCUUGAAUGCUGCGUCAAGAUCUUUAGACACCGAGAGGCGGAGAAGCCGCGAUUCCAACAUGAACAGUCCUUGUUCUGAGAGAGGCCUUCUAAGUAAUAGUUCGGACGAUAAGACACUAUCAAAUAAACCGCCAUACGACGUCAAUACGUUACUGUCGCCUGCAAGAAAAGCACACACGCGUCACAGAACGUUCGAAGGUAGAAACACACCGGAAUUCUGCACGGAUGCGAAUAACGCGAAUCAAACUGUAAGUCUAAAGACUGUACUCAAGAACAACGCCUUAGAUUCUAAGUAUCCGAGGAUUGAUCAAACACGUUGCCAAGGAGACAAGAAGCACCAAAGAGUGUUCAGUGAUGGGAAAAAGCCCAACAAUGUUGCGUUUGGAUCCUCAAUCAAGCGGUCUAGUUCUUUCAAUACAGUUAAUAAGAAUAACAAUUAUUUGGAUCCUAGCAGAAAUGUGUUUAGGAGAUCCAGCGGUCAUUCAGACGAGUAUAAAGAUGAUUAUUUAUCUGAUGAGUCUGAUAAUGGUUCAUUUCAUAAAUCGCAGGAGUUGAGGUAUAAGAGGCCUGUACAUCGAGGCAGGAUAGACUCGCCUGAUUUGAAGUCGAUCGCCCCAGCGAACUCUCCGAGAUGUCCUAACACUCCGGAAAUGCAAAGGAAGUUUGGGCCGGGGCUUGUGAGAAACUCCGGUAGGGUGACAAACAAAGAUAGGCUUAUUAACACGAGGAUGUCUGAGCCCCCAGUUGCAAGGGAAGACAGAGGGAAGCCGACUAACCAUCAAAGUCGUAGAAUAUCAGAGCCAACAAGACAAGCUGUAUUGAAUAGGCUGACUAAAUCCAGGUCGUCCACGAGGGAGUUGCCGACGAAUAAAAAUCAAGAAAAAGGUCAAAAGAAGCCCAGCCAGCACCGGUCGUCUUCCGCCCUCGCCACCAAAGAGAUCGAGUUCUCCAACUGGAAGAAACGCUCCUCGUACGACCCCAUGAAGGCGGCCCAGGAGGGCAAGCGGCGGCAGCAACUAGCCAAGAGGCAGGAUAACAAGGACGCUCUAAGUUCACCCAGUCACUCGUCUCCGGUACAUCGGUCACAAUCGUUCCAUACGACUAACAUCGCUGACCUAGAGACCCUGGACUACUCCUCCGAGGAGGACGAUCAGAUGCUGGCCCUACCAGUGGACCCCAUGAUCACAUCGACCCACUCCGACAUCCUGGACUUGAGAACAAACAGAGAGAACCUGAGACGGCAGGCGAUGAACAACGAAGUUGUGCUAGCCCGGGACUAUAUAACCAACUUCCAGGUAAAUCAGCAACCAGACAAGACAAAACGCCGCGACCCCGACAAACGGAAAACAUUCAUAAUUGACGACAUCACCCCGACCAAAGACAACGUAGACUUCCUGCCCAAAAGGGACGAGGCCGUAGACAAGCGGAAAACGUUCAUUCUGGACAGCGAUACGAAUUCGACGACUAACGGCAGUAGUCCGAGGAACUCCUCGAUAUUCAGCCACGAGAAGAAUUCGCUGACGACCGGCACUAGUGACACGGAGGGCGAGAGCGGGACGGAGAGUGCGCCGGUGGUGAUGCGCCACCCGGCCGGGAAGAGGGCGCCUGCGCAGGCCAAACAGAGGUACAGCGGUGACUAUUCAAUGUCCUCGUCGACGACCUCUAUAAGCCAGAAGCGGCCCAAAGAGAUCCAGCCUCGUUAUCUCGACAUAUCCAAAUAUAAGUCAGAGAGCUCGCCCAAGAACUUCUUGCGGCGAGAUCCGAGCAAGACCUACGUUGGGGUGCUGCCUAAUUGUGACAGGGGUAAUGUCAGUAAGGGGAGUGCACAGCACUACGAAAUGGAACAAAAGAAGCAAGAAUUAGAGAAGUGGAAACGAAGAGCAUCAUACGAUCCGAGAAAAGCCGCGGCGCUCGGAAAAACAAAUAAAACGCCGCCAAAAACUGCCAGAGCGUGACAGAUGUCAAAGUGCAUGCAAAUAUGGCCAAAGUGAUAAGUGGGCAGCCAUCUUGUUUCGUAAGUGUCCUACGUUCUCAGUCGUUCCAUGGGCCCGUACUUGUGUCUACAAGUCUUCGCUACCAACCACCGCCCACGCAAAUAACAGAGAACUACGACCAUUCGAGCGACAACGACUUCUAACGCGACCGCUUAAAGUCGACAAUACGAUGGCAUAAUGUGAUAAUGUGCGUGCAAGGUCCAGAUGUGAAUGUAUGAUGAAACGAAUUUGUUUGUAUUUGUAUUGUCUAUAAAUUAUUCGUAAUAUUAAUAAAAUUAUUUACGAUAAAUAUCAUAGUGAGGUUAGUGUUGUAUCAUUAGCGAGUUUAGAGUACGCCCCGUUGCGUUUGCCAGUUGCAGUUUUUAUAAAGUUAUCUGUCAAACAUGAUAGAUCAGUUUUCGCGCCAAAACACCAUGAACAAAGAUGGAGGAUUGCGUUUUGUUCAAACUUUUUUGUAUGUGCAAUUAGAGGUAUCUUUGAAUUAUUGAAGAAUAGCAAUUUAACAUUUUUUUUUUUGUAUAGAAUAGAUAUAUGCUUAAGUUAUAUAAAAAAAAAAUUCAUUUUACAUUAUUUAAAUUAUAAAUUCGCAUGAAUAUUUGUGAUUUUAUGCAGGUUCAAUUCAAAUGUACCUCAAUUGCUACUUUUUUUUAAUUCUUAUCAGUCAUAUUAUUUUUAAUUUUGACUUUUUUGUAAAUUAAACGAAUGGAUUUUGGGGUGAUGCAAUUAUUAGUUAUUACAUAAUGAUCUUACAUUAUUUCUAUAUUUAUCGAUUCGCACAAAUGUCGAAGACAUCUUGGAGAAGUACAGCAAUGAAUUAAAAAUAUGUUUUUUUUUAUUGGAUUUACUAUGUAGAUUACUUUUUUUUUGUAAGUAUAUCUCUAUUCGUUGAAAGAUAAUGGAAAUUAAAUGUGAUAAUUAUAGCGUUAUUUGAUAUCAAUAAUUGUAUGUCAUUCUAUUAAGAUUAUUUUCUCUAUUAUAAAUAUCCAAUAUAUAUACAUUGGAUGCUUUAAGUAAAGCAUUAUUAUAAAAUUUGUAUUUGUAUUCAAAUAAAUUGCUCAUAUCAUUCAUACAGCGAUAUAAUUUAGUGUUUAGUUGUAGUUUUUUUUUUUUUUCUAAAAUAUAUACUCUUUUUAAUUUUUAAUUUUGUGCAAUACAAUCAUCACAUACCUAAUCCUAAUACAUAUUCUGUGGAUAAAAUUAAACUUACUAAAUGCGUAUCAUUAUCUAUUCAGAUUGACAAUUAAAAACUUGGAUGUAUGAUUCCUGCCUUUGUCUUACAAAGAAUAAAAAAUUAUAAAAAAAUGUGUACAGUAGGUAAACUACCGCUGUAAAUACUUUUCCAAGUUAAAAAUGAUCCUAAUUUUUAGUUUAGUGACAAGUGUUAGUUGUACUGUUAAAAUUGUAACAAUUGAGGUGAAUUGAUAAUCCAAUGUGCGUGUUUAGUAAGUUUAGUGUUAAAUGUAGCAAAGAAAAAAAAAACAAUAAUAAUAUGUAUAAUCAAUCUAAGAAUUUUUGAAAUUGUUUUUUAUUUAUGGAUUUCGUUAUUUUUGUAUGGGGUUAAUUGGUUUUAUUUAUGAACUUUGUAAUACUCAAUGGAAAUUAGAUAAUAAUUUACUUUUCUAAAAUGUUUCAUAAUUAUUGCCUUUUUGUGUGUAAUCAAUGAUGUUUUAAUAAAAAAAUAUAUCAAUUCUGACACAUUUAUCAUAUCAGCCCCUAACAGUCCACUGCUGAACAUAAACCUCUCCCUUGGGGUGGUUUACCAGUAGUUGCCAUGCUUGGCGAGUGGAUUAACAACCGCAGUUAGGCUUUAGAGAUGUUUUAAGAGGGACGUUGCUGCCCAUUCUGCGUCUUUCCUUAGUUGCCUAUUACGACACCUACAGGAAGUAUUAAUUUUCGUAUAUCCUAAAUGUGGUACAAUAUUAAAGCUAUGGUGAUGCAAGUUACCAUUGACUCCCCGAGGACGGUGUGAAUUAAUUAAUACCAAAAUAUCUUUGUAAGUGUGAUGAUGAUGAUGAUGAUGAGUCCUGACCGUUUACAGUCACGGUGAUCACUUUGACUCCGCUAUUAUUAAUUGUUUGCAUAGAGGUCUGGUGUUGACAUUGCUUUGUUCGGAUGUGGUUUACAUAGCCAAUCUUUUUUAAUAAGGGUGCCUGCAUAUAUCGGGUAUGCAAGUACACCACGGUGUACUUGUAAGUGUUAUAAAUACAUUAUUAAAAUAUCAUUGGUUACCAUUUUCGAUCUCAUAAUUAUGUACGUCCACUCGAAUAUUAGUAAUUUGCUUAAGAAACAACGUAUGUACCGUUAAAUAAAAAGAAUGCCUCAGAUGAUGAUGGCGAUCUCCGUGGCGUGGUGGUGAGCACGUUGCAUUGCGUACAUAAAAAGCCCUGGUUCGAUUUCCGAUCGUGUCAGUAUGGGAAACAACUAUUUCUGAAUUGGCUCGCGUCUGCGUGUUUUGGAACGUGCCCUCAGUUACUCGUUGCUCGGUUUCACAAAAAUGGUAACCUAGCUUGAGGAUCAGGCGGUUAGAGUGAUGGAGUGAUGACUCUUGUUAUUAUUACGUUUAAACAAACGGCUAAAUUAUUUUUAUUCUUACAAGCCUUUAUCAUUGUUAUCAGAAUAUCCAAAUAAUAUAUACUAAUUGCUAUUUAUAUACGUUGUUUCAAAAAUGAAAUUUGGUUAUUUCCGUCCAAAACAUGUAUCCAAUUUUUUUUUAAUUGCUGACAAAUUAUUAAACAAAACGCAAUAAUAAAUUGUUUUAUUACUGUUCAAAAGACUAGGAUUAUUAUGUAGCUUUUUUAAAAUAAGUCGACAGUACCCCCACAUUCAUAUGAAAUUGAAAAUGUUCUACAAACCUAUUUUAACUAUCAGAGUAUUUUGUCUCUUUCUUUCAAAUUGAGAAUUUGAAGCAAAAGGCAAAGUAUGGGUAGCUAAAACAGGUUUAUUAAAGGUUUGACUUUAAACAAAAAUGGUUUAAUCCUUACGUUUUCGAAAUUUGUAUUGUUAUUAGAUCAAAAGGCAUAAUAUACUCAAAUGAAACAUUUACGCAAAUAUCCAAAAAGACUCGUACCCAUGACUGUAUACUGAAAAAAAAAAAUAGUAGCAUCGAGUUUUCCCGCGUAAUUUGUAUUGUUUAUUGUCAAUAAUACACGUUAGAGUAGUGAUCAGCUUUCUAUGAGUUUGUACUUUUAAGAACUCGAAGUUCGAUAAGAUUUGUAAUGCCCUUUCAAUGUUUAGUGUUUCAUAAAAAAUAUUGUUUAAAAGAAAAUUAAUAAAAACGAUAUAAAACAAUUUAAA